This 200-nucleotide ribosomal RNA is filed under the name uncultured organism. Its description in RNAcentral is "partial small subunit ribosomal RNA". It matches the Rfam family "Bacterial small subunit ribosomal RNA", at positions 1183 to 1382 of the family's 1533-position model. The record is from RNAcentral.
CGUCAAGUCAUCAUGCCCUUAUGCCUUGGGCUGCAAACGUGCUACAAUGGCCGGUACAGAGGGCGGCGAUACCGUAAGGUGGAGCGAAUCCCGUAAAGCCGGUCUCAGUUCGGAUUGGGGUCUGCAACUCGACCCCAUGAAGUCGGAGUCGCUAGUAAUCGCAGAUCAGCAACGCUGCGGUGGAUACGUUCCCGGGCCUU